UGGGGCGUGGUCGAGUGGUAAGUCAGCAGGUUUUGGCCCUGUUAUUCGGAGGUUCGAGUCCUUCCGUCCCAG
RNAcentral lists this transfer RNA (72 nucleotides) under Haplomitrium blumei. RNAcentral describes it as "tRNA-Gln". It matches the Rfam family "tRNA". From Rfam's summary of the family: Transfer RNA (tRNA) molecules are approximately 80 nucleotides in length. Their secondary structure includes four short double-helical elements and three loops (D, anti-codon, and T loops). Lineage: Eukaryota; Viridiplantae; Streptophyta; Haplomitriopsida; Calobryales; Haplomitriaceae. The record is from RNAcentral.